Molecule: ribosomal RNA, 453 nt
Filed under: uncultured Alkalitalea sp.
Lineage: Bacteria; Pseudomonadati; Bacteroidota; Bacteroidia; Marinilabiliales; Marinilabiliaceae
Description: partial 16S ribosomal RNA
Rfam family: Bacterial small subunit ribosomal RNA
Source: RNAcentral
ACGGGAGGCAGCAGUAGGGAAUAUUGGGCAAUGGAAGCAAUUCUGACCCAGCCAUGCCGCGUGCAGGAAGAAGGCCCUAGGGUUUUAAACUGCUUUUGUCACAGAGUAACCGUCGGGACGCGUCCCGGCCUGAGAGUAUGUGACGAAUAAGUAUCGGCUAACUCCGUGCCAGCAGCCGCGGUAAUACGGAGGAUACAAGCGUUAUCCGGAUUUAUUGGGUUUAAAGGGUGCGCAGGCGGACCGGUAAGUCAGGGGUGAAAUACUGCAGCUCAACUGCAGCCGUGCCUUUGAUACUGCCGGACUAGAGUCCAAGGGACGUGGCUGGAAUGUGGUGUGUAGCGGUGAAAUGCUUAGAUAUGCCACAGAACGCCGAUCGUGAAGACAGGCCACGAACUUGGCACUGACGCUCAGGCACGAAAGCGUGGGUAUCAAACAGGAUUAGAUACCCUGGUA